GUGGGGAAUUGUUCGCAAUGGGCGCAAGCCUGACGACGCAACGCCGCGUGGAGGAUGAAGACUUUCGGGUCGUAAACUCCUUUCGACCGAGAUGAAUGUCCCUCGACCCAACACGUCGAGGGAGUGACAGUAUCGAGGGAAGAAGCCCCGGCUAACUCUGUGCCAGCAGCCGCGGUAAUACAGGGGGGGCAAGCGUUGUUCGGAAUUACUGGGCGUAAAGGGUUCGUAGGUGGCCAACUAAGUCAGACGUGAAAUCCCUCAGCUUAACUGGGGAACUGCGUCUGAUACUGGUUGGCUUGAGUGCAGGAGAGGAACGCGGAAUUCCAGGUGUAGCGGUGAAAUGCGUAGAUAUCUGGAGGAACACCGGUGGCGAAGGCGGCGUUCUGGACUGCAACUGACACUGAGGAACGAAAGCCAGGGGAGCAAACGGGAUUAGAUACCCGGGUAGUCC
RNAcentral lists this ribosomal RNA (451 nucleotides) under uncultured bacterium. RNAcentral's name for it is "bacterial SSU rRNA". It matches the Rfam family "Bacterial small subunit ribosomal RNA", at positions 354 to 796 of the family's 1533-position model. The record is from RNAcentral.